Long non-coding RNA from Lolium rigidum, 1734 nucleotides. RefSeq lists it as uncharacterized. The record is from RefSeq and is a predicted model, not a curated record. NCBI's taxonomy places the organism in Eukaryota, Viridiplantae, Streptophyta, Magnoliopsida, Poales, Poaceae. The transcript has 3 exons.
CUGAGACCUUGCGUCAGUUUGCUUGCAUAUGUUAAAACAGUACAGCCAAUAAGAUGCAAAUUGUACAAUAGUAGAGGUAUGGUUGAAUAUAUAAAAGCCAUCUACCUGCCUCUCUCUUCACGACGUACAUUGCGUCAGUUUGCCUGCAUAUGCUAAAAUAGUACAGUCAAUAAGAUACAAAUUAUGCAAUAGUAGAGAUAUAGUUGAAUAUAUAAAAGCUAUAUAUCUGCCUCUCUCCUCACGACGUACAUGAGCAUGCUCAGAGUUGACAACUCUCAUAUGUGUGAUGAUUUAUCCAAAAUACACCAAAAUCUGCAUAUACUGCCUUGAAUUAUACUGUCCAAUCAGUGCAAAGAUAAUCCAAAAUAAACCAAAAUCUGCAUAUCCUGCCUUGAAUUAUACUGUCCAAUCAGUAGAAAGAUAAACAUGCUGUGGAUACAUACACAAGUAAGACCAUUGAAAAAAACAUGAAUAGAUACACCGAGGGAUGGACAGUACUGACUGAAAAUAAUUUCAAAAGAGGCAUUCAGCUGAUACACAUGUACCUACAUGUCUGAUUUCAUGUACAGUUAAUUAUUUCUGGCUAUAGUUGAAGUAUUGUACACACUUGAAGAAAUCAAGAAGGGUCAUAAACUAAGCAAGGAGAGAGUGAUUGCCAUAUCCGAAACCUUACGCAAUAUAGCAUCAGAAUGAGCACUCAAGGAGGAGUUGGUUAUUACAGUAUAUGCUAAUGUGCGGUUAAUUCUUAUGACUGAAAAUGAGCAGUACGGUACGCAAUAGCAAAAGCGAAGCAACUCAGUUGUUCAGUUUUCAUCUGCUUAGUUUUCGUUCGCAGGCCAGUUCUAUUUUCUGUCCUCGAAUUCUUAUUGCUUCCACUUCUCAAUGAUUACUGAACUUUGUUGAAUUUUCUUUAAAGGUUGCAGAAUUUUUGCUUCAAAAGGAUGCCUCUUCAAAACAAAUUGUUUUUCUUGCUACUGACGAGUAUAAUGCAAUGGAAUCCGUGAAGAUGGUAUGCGCACAUUAACAAUUGUUUGGCCAAUCCUUUAGAUUUCUUAUCACAUCUUCCCCCCGUGAGUUUCGAUUCCAUCUAUUGCUGAUAUUUAGCCUGGUGUCAAAUUGUGCGGUCAAACACUGGUGUCAUGAUGUGUGCUUGCAUCAGCCUGCUCUCAUUUAAAAAGCACAUUUGGUACCGUAUUUACACCUGGCCAAAUUUAAAGCAUCGAAACAUCCCUCUAUAUAACAGAACACCAACAAUACCAAUUCAUCCGUCCAUAUCAAAAUACAUAAACAACUUUCAACCCGGAGGCUUCACACAUCACCUCGCACAUGGAGCAACAAGGAGGAAAAAACAGGUAAUCCUCGGUCAUCCAUAUAUUCAUAUUAACACAUAUAUAUUUCUAAUUCCUAUCUUCAUGUACAAAUCUCUAUAUGCAUCACGCCAAUGAGGCCUGCCGCGUCCCUAAUUCCAUCGGCACCAAAUCGUCAAAGAGAAGCUAACAAGAUGUACAUUAAAGCAAUAGAAGAACUCAAGCACAUCAAACGACCACUGCAUAUAACUUUACAGGAGGGUGACCAAGGGGAGCCUUCACGUGCUGAAAUCAAAAACAUACUUGAAAAAGAUGAGUUCUUCACAACGGAUUACAUCAAAGAAGGAAAGAGACAAGUGACAGCUAUCAUUUCUGCUGAGUAGUUUAAAAAAAAGGCAAUUAGUAGUUACCAAUUCAAUCAUCGGGU